GACGAACGCUGGCGGCGUGCUUAACACAUGCAAGUCGAGCGGUAAGGCCCUUUCGGGGGUACACGAGCGGCGAACGGGUGAGUAACACGUGGGUGACCUGCCCUUAGCUCUGGGAUAAGCCUGGGAAACUGGGUCUAAUACCGGAUAUGACUCCAUGACGCAUGUUGUGGGGUGGAAAGCCUUGUGCGGCUAGGGAUGGGCCCGCGGCCUAUCAGCUUGUUGGUGGGGUGAUGGCCUACCAAGGCGACGACGGGUAGCCGGCCUGAGAGGGCGACCGGCCACACUGGGACUGAGACACGGCCCAGACUCCUACGGGAGGCAGCAGUGGGGAAAUCUUGCGCAAUGGGCGAAAGCCUGACGCAGCGACGCCGCGUGAGGGAUGACGGCCU
RNAcentral lists this ribosomal RNA (389 nucleotides) under uncultured bacterium. RNAcentral describes it as "bacterial SSU rRNA". It matches the Rfam family "Bacterial small subunit ribosomal RNA", at positions 28 to 417 of the family's 1533-position model. The record is from RNAcentral.